UUACAAUGGGCGUCUGUUGGUGCUCGAGGCCGCUUUUCUGUGGUCUCAGUUCAACGGGAAGCAGGGAGGUGCUGGCCAGACACACUGGCACACCGAACCUGCGCUGCCCCCGCAACGGUCGGCGAAUGGAGUGCGCAGCACUCCUCCUUUUCCAUUCAUAGCCACUGGCGCUUGCGUGCUGGGAAGGCUGGCAAAAGGAAGAAUCGCCUAGCCCGGAUACCGGCCAACAUGGGUUGCCUGCA
This 242-nucleotide non-coding RNA is filed under the name Comamonas testosteroni. Lineage: Bacteria; Pseudomonadati; Pseudomonadota; Betaproteobacteria; Burkholderiales; Comamonadaceae. The record is from RNAcentral.